RNAcentral lists this ribosomal RNA (279 nucleotides) under uncultured bacterium. RNAcentral's name for it is "partial 16S ribosomal RNA". It matches the Rfam family "Bacterial small subunit ribosomal RNA", at positions 506 to 784 of the family's 1533-position model. The record is from RNAcentral.
UGCCAGCCGCCGCGGUAAUACGGAGGGUGCAAGCGUCAUCCGGAAUCACUGGGUUUAAAGGGUGCGUAGGCGGCGUCAUAAGUCAGAAGUGAAAUCCCACGGCUCAACCGUGGAACUGCUUUUGAUACUGUGGCACUUGAAUUAGGCUGAGGUUAGCGGAAUGUGACAUGUAGCGGUGAAAUGCAUAGAUAUGUCAUAGAACACCAAUUGCGAAGGCAGCUGACUAGACCUAUAUUGACGCUGAGGCACGAAAGCGUGGGGAGCGAACAGGAUUAGAUA